This 253-nucleotide ribosomal RNA is filed under the name uncultured prokaryote. Its description in RNAcentral is "partial 16S ribosomal RNA". It matches the Rfam family "Bacterial small subunit ribosomal RNA", at positions 524 to 776 of the family's 1533-position model. The record is from RNAcentral.
UACAGGGGGGGCAAGCGUUGUUCGGAAUUACUGGGCGUAAAGGGCUAGUAGGCGGCCUGCUAAGUCCGACGUGAAAUCCCCAAGCUUAACUUGGGAACUGCGUCGGAUACUGGCGGGCUUGAAUCCGGGAGAGGGAUGCGGAAUUCCAGGUGUAGCGGUGAAAUGCGUAGAGAUCGGGAGGAAGGCCGGUGGCGAAGGCGGCGCUCUGGAACGUUUCUGACGCUGAGGCUCGAAAGCGUGGGGAGCAAACAGG